Molecule: ribosomal RNA, 466 nt
Filed under: uncultured bacterium
Lineage: Bacteria
Description: bacterial SSU rRNA
Rfam family: Bacterial small subunit ribosomal RNA
Source: RNAcentral
CCUACGGGUGGCAGCAGUGGGGAAUCUUGCGCAAUGGACGAAAGUCUGACGCAGCCACGCCGCGUGAGUGAAGAAGGCCUUCGGGUUGUAAAGCUCUGUCGGAGGGGACGAAAAGCAAUUAGGUUAAUAGCCUAGUUGCCUGACGGUACCCUCAAAGGAAGCACCGGCUAACUUCGUGCCAGCAGCCGCGGUAAUACGAGGGGUGCAAGCGUUGCUCGGAAUCAUUGGGCGUAAAGGGCAGGUAGGUGGUCUUAUUUGUCUGAGGUGAAAUCCCUGGGCUUAACCCAGGAAGUGCCUCAGAAACGGUAGGACUAGAGUUCUAGAGGGGUUUGUGGAAUUCCCGGUGUAGCGGUGAAAUGCGUAGAGAUCGGGAGGAACACCAGCGGCGAAGGCGGCAAACUGGAUAGACACUGACACUCAACUGCGAAAGCGUGGGGAGCAAACAGGAUUAGAUACCCCUGUAGUC